Molecule: ribosomal RNA, 453 nt
Filed under: uncultured Dolosigranulum sp.
Lineage: Bacteria; Bacillati; Bacillota; Bacilli; Lactobacillales; Carnobacteriaceae
Description: bacterial SSU rRNA
Rfam family: Bacterial small subunit ribosomal RNA
Source: RNAcentral
AACGAUGAUAUCACUGCUUGCAGUGAUUGAUUAGUGGCGAACGGGUGAGUAACACGUGAGGAACUUGCCCAUGAGCGGGGGACAACAUUCGGAAACGGAUGCUAAUACCCCAUAGGUGGAUUGGUCGCAUGACUAAUUCAUUAAAGGUGGCUCUGCUACCACUCAUGGAUAGCCUCGCGGCGUAUUAGCUAGUUGGUAAGGUAAUGGCUUACCAAGGCAGUGAUACGUAGCCGACUUGAGAGGGUGAUCGGCCACACUGGGACUGAGACACGGCCCAGACUCCUACGGGAGGCAGCAGUAGGGAAUCUUCCACAAUGGGUGCAAACCUGAUGGAGCAAUGCCGCGUGAGUGAAGAAGGUCUUCGGAUCGUAAAGCUCUGUUGUUAGAGAAGAACACGUGCUAGGUAACUACUAGCGCCUUGACGGUAUCUAACCAGAAAUCACGGCUAACUAC